CGCGUAGGCGGACUUUCAAGUCGGAUGUGAAAUCUCCGGGCUCAACUCGGAGCCUGCAUCCGAUACUGUUGGUCUUGAGUAUAUCAGAGGAAAGCGGAAUUCCAGGUGUAGCGGUGAAAUGCGUAGAUAUCUGGAAGAACACCAGUAGCGAAGGCGGCUUUCUGGGGUAAUACUGACGCUGAAGCGCGAAGGCUGGGGGAGCAAACA
RNAcentral lists this ribosomal RNA (207 nucleotides) under uncultured bacterium. Its description in RNAcentral is "partial 16S ribosomal RNA". It matches the Rfam family "Bacterial small subunit ribosomal RNA", at positions 568 to 774 of the family's 1533-position model. The record is from RNAcentral.